RNAcentral lists this ribosomal RNA (506 nucleotides) under uncultured bacterium. RNAcentral's name for it is "partial 16S ribosomal RNA". It matches the Rfam family "Bacterial small subunit ribosomal RNA", at positions 29 to 523 of the family's 1533-position model. The record is from RNAcentral.
AGUGAACGCUGGCGGUAGGCCUAACACAUGCAAGUCGAACGGCAGCACAGGAGAGCUUGCUCUCUGGGUGGCGAGUGGCAGACGGGUGAGGAAUACAUCGGAGUCUACUCUGUCGUGGGGGAUAACGUAGGGAAACUUACGCUAAUACCGCAUACGACCUACGGGGGAAAGCAGGGGACCUUCUGGCCUUGCGCGAUUGAAUGAGCGGAUGUCGGAUUAGCUAGUUGGCGGGGUAAAGGCCCACCAAGGCGACGAUCCGUAGCUGGUCUGAGAGGAUGAUCAGACACACUGGAACUAAGACACGGUCCAGACUCCUACGGGAGGCAGCAGUGGGGAAUAUUGGACAAUGGGCGCAAGCCUGAUCCAGCCAUACCGCGUGGGUGAAGAAGGCCUUCGGGUUGUAAAGCCCUUUUGUUGGGAAAGAAAUCCAGCUGGCUAAUACCCGGUUGGGAUGACGGUACCCAAAGAAUAAGCACCGGCUAACUUCGUGCCAGCAGCCGCCGUAA